Molecule: ribosomal RNA, 253 nt
Filed under: uncultured bacterium
Lineage: Bacteria
Description: partial 16S ribosomal RNA
Rfam family: Bacterial small subunit ribosomal RNA
Source: RNAcentral
UACGGAGGGUGCAAGCGUUAUCCGGAUUCACUGGGUUUAAAGGGUGCGUAGGUGGGUUGGUAAGUCAGUGGUGAAAUCUCCGAGCUUAACUUGGAAACUGCCAUUGAUACUAUUAGUCUUGAAUAUUGUGGAGGUCAGCGGAAUAUGUCAUGUAGCGGUGAAAUGCUUAGAGAUGACAUAGAACACCAAUUGCGAAGGCAGCUGGCUACACAUAUAUUGACACUGAGGCACGAAAGCGUGGGGAUCAAACAGG